Molecule: long non-coding RNA, 887 nt
Organism: Corticium candelabrum
Lineage: Eukaryota; Metazoa; Porifera; Homoscleromorpha; Homosclerophorida; Plakinidae
Exons: 2
Source: RefSeq, a predicted model, not a curated record
CUGGGGAGAAGCUGGCUGCGCGAGACUUAUACCGCUUUAUGUGUACACGUUUCUGGCAGAAGUGGAGCAGUAGAGUCCCGGAUCUAAUCUCGGACAUUUCCUAAUCUCGGUCACUCGUUCUCUGCCGAAGAGCUGCAGCCAGACCUAGCUGCUACGCUAGCGUCAUAGCCCUACUGGAUAGCAACUAGGUAGAGCGGGUCACGUCAGCAUCCGUCAUAACGUUGCUGCUGUAGAACUUGAAAACUGAUCGCACCUAUUCUCGGGCACAGAGUAUCAUAUCUCGGUCAGUGCUUGCCAUCUCGUUUCUACAACUCCGUUUGAGACGCAAGUCAUCUCUGUCGAUACGCUCAUUAUAUGACUUCCUUUCGCCAAAUUGUUGGUUUUGUCUUGUCAACCUCUACUCUUGCAGACAACGAAGAAGACGGAUGACUCACGGGACAUAAUCUCGGUCACCUGAUCUCGAGUGAUUUUCUCUCUUCAGACGCAGAUCUGAGGCGUUCUUUUGACUAACGUUAUAGUCAUCACCUCUGGCUACUAUACCUACGGGGUGAUGUUAGUGCUCAUCGUACUGUUGCUACGGCAGAACGUGAAAUGUGAGAGACAAAUACUCGGACAUCCGGGAUCAUAUCUCGGUCAGUCGCUUUCAUCGCGUUUCUACAAGACGAAUUGAGACGUUAAUCAUGUCUGUUGAAAGGGCGGUGAGAAAAGUGGUGGCGUACGGGACAUAAUCUCGGUCAGGCGAUUUUGAGAAAGACGGGUUCCUGAGUAGGUUAUAUUGUGCGAUUUUUAGUCUACUGUUGUUCUAGAGCUAUAUUGUCAAGAAUGUGUCUGUCUAACUUACUAUUUUUAGCACUUCAAACAUACAACGUGAUGACUAUGAAUUUUCA